RNAcentral lists this ribosomal RNA (406 nucleotides) under uncultured bacterium. RNAcentral describes it as "partial 16S ribosomal RNA". It matches the Rfam family "Bacterial small subunit ribosomal RNA", at positions 28 to 526 of the family's 1533-position model. The record is from RNAcentral.
GAUGAACGCUGGCGGCGUGCUUAAUACAUGCAAGUCGAACGAGUGGCGAACGGGUGAGUAAUACGUGAGUAACCUGCCCUCUUUUUGGGAUAAGCCUUGGAAACGGGGUCUAAUACCGGAUAUGGGGGGAUGGGCUCGCGGCCUAUCAGCUUGUUAGUGGGGUGAUGGCCUACCAAGGCGGGGACGGGUAGCAGGCCUGAGAGGGUGGCCUGGAACAGUGAGACGGUGAAACGGCCUAGAGUACUAAGGGAGGCAGCAGUGUGCGAUAUUGCAGAAAGGGCGAAAGACUGAUGCAGCGAGGCCGCGUGGGGGAUGAAGGCUUUAGGGUUGUAAACCUCUGUCGCAAUCGAACGGGUAGGUGGAGAAGAAGCGCCGGCUAACUACGUGCCAGCCGCCGCGGUAAUUC